RNAcentral lists this ribosomal RNA (254 nucleotides) under uncultured bacterium. RNAcentral describes it as "partial small subunit ribosomal RNA". It matches the Rfam family "Bacterial small subunit ribosomal RNA", at positions 26 to 285 of the family's 1533-position model. The record is from RNAcentral.
AGGACGAACGCUGGCGGCGUGCUUAACACAUGCAAGUCGAGCGGAAAGGCCCUUCGGGGUACUCGAGCAGCGAACGGGUGAGUAACACGUGAGCAAUCUGCCCUUAGCUCCGGGAUAGCUCCGGGAAACCGGAAUUAAUACCGGAUACGACCACAGCCGACAUCUGCUGUGGUGGAAAGGAUUCCGGCUAAGGAUGGGCUCGCGGCCUAUCAGCUGGUUGGUGAGGUAACGGCCCACCAAGGCGACGACGGGUA